AGUGAACGCUGGCGGUAUGCCUAACACAUGCAAGUCGAACGGCAGCACAGUAAGAGCUUGCUCUUACGGGUGGCGAGUGGCGGACGGGUGAGGAAUACAUCGGAAUCUACUUUUUCGUGGGGGAUAACGUAGGGAAACUUACUCUAAUACCGCAUACGACCUACGGUUGAAAGCAGUGGAUCUUCGGACCUUGCGCGAUUGAAUGAGCCGAUGUCGGAUUAGCUAGUUGGCGGGGUAAAGGCCCACCAAGGCGACGAUCCGUAGCUGGUCUGAGAGGAGGGUCAGCCACACUGGAAGUGAGACACGGUCAAGACUCCUACGGGAGGCAGCAGUGGGGAAUAUGGGACAAUGGGCGCAAGCAUGAUCCAGCCAUACCGCGUGGGUGAAGAAGGCCUUCGGGUUGUAAAGCCCUUUUGUUGGGAAAGAAAAGCAGCAGGUUAAUACCCAGCUGUUCUGACGGUACCCAAAGAAUAAGCACCGGCUAACUUCGUG
This 492-nucleotide ribosomal RNA is filed under the name uncultured bacterium. Its description in RNAcentral is "partial 16S ribosomal RNA". It matches the Rfam family "Bacterial small subunit ribosomal RNA", at positions 29 to 507 of the family's 1533-position model. The record is from RNAcentral.